GGGGAUGUGGCUCAAUGGUAGAGCACUUCCAUGGCAUGGAAGGGGUUAGGGGUUCGAGUCCCCUCAUCUCCACCA
This 75-nucleotide transfer RNA is filed under the name Candidatus Kerfeldbacteria bacterium CG_4_10_14_0_8_um_filter_42_10. Its description in RNAcentral is "tRNA-Ala". It matches the Rfam family "tRNA". From Rfam's summary of the family: Transfer RNA (tRNA) molecules are approximately 80 nucleotides in length. Their secondary structure includes four short double-helical elements and three loops (D, anti-codon, and T loops). The record is from RNAcentral. Lineage: Bacteria; Candidatus Kerfeldiibacteriota.